RNAcentral lists this long non-coding RNA (224 nucleotides) under Lathyrus oleraceus (garden pea). RNAcentral's name for it is "Pisum sativum (pea) long non-coding RNA (PSAT_LNC037435)". Lineage: Eukaryota; Viridiplantae; Streptophyta; Magnoliopsida; Fabales; Fabaceae. The record is from RNAcentral.
AAAAAGAGUAUAGAUUGAUAGUUAUAGGCAAAUGAUGAGGUGUGAAUAGCAAGCACGGUUGAGCAGGCAGGGGAAUGGGAUAAGGGAUAGGGGGAGGGAAUCGGUUAUUGUAAGAGAAGAAAGGUUUUCUCCAUAUUCAUGUGAUGUAAUUAAAUUUAGAGUUUCUUAUUUAUUUUUUUUGGAAUUUUAUGUGAUGAUUAAAUGGAUUAAUGUAUGUGAGUUUG